CGAACGCUGGCGGCAGGCCUAUACAUGCAAGUCGAACGGCUCUUCGGAGCAGUGGCGGACGGGUGAGUAACGCGUGGGAAUGUGCCCUUAGGUACGGAACAACACAGGGAAACUUGUGCUAAUACCGUAUGUGCCCUUCGGGGGAAAGAUUUAUCGCCUUUGGAGCAGCCCGCGUUGGAUUAGGUAGUUGGUGAGGUAAAGGCUCACCAAGCCGACGAUCCAUAGCUGGUCUGAGAGGAUGACCAGCCACACUGGGACUGAGACACGGCCCAGACUCCUACGGGAGGCAGCAGUAGGGAAUCUUGCGCAAUGGGCGAAAGCCUGACGCAGCCAUGCCGCGUGUAUGAUGAAGGUCUUAGGAUUGUAAAAUACUUUCACCGGGGAAGAUAAUGACGGUACCCGGAGAAGAAGCCCCGGCUAACUUCGUGCCAGCAGCCGCCGCGG
RNAcentral lists this ribosomal RNA (444 nucleotides) under uncultured bacterium. RNAcentral's name for it is "partial 16S ribosomal RNA". It matches the Rfam family "Bacterial small subunit ribosomal RNA", at positions 30 to 523 of the family's 1533-position model. The record is from RNAcentral.